Cricetulus griseus (Chinese hamster) is the source of this 109-nucleotide ribosomal RNA. NCBI's taxonomy places the organism in Eukaryota, Metazoa, Chordata, Mammalia, Rodentia, Cricetidae. The record is from Ensembl.
UAUGGCCAUACCACCCUUAACUCACCCAAUCUCUUCUGAUUUCAGUAGCUAAGCAGUACCAGCCCUGUAUAGUACCUGGAUGGGAGAGAACAUACAGGUGAGGCCAUGA